Molecule: long non-coding RNA, 3805 nt
Filed under: Daphnia magna
Lineage: Eukaryota; Metazoa; Arthropoda; Branchiopoda; Diplostraca; Daphniidae
Description: uncharacterized LOC123473705
Source: RNAcentral
CUUAAUAACACACAACUUGGAUAUUAUUUCGCUCUUUGGGAUUUUGUAUCGGUAAAACUUCGUUACAUUUAUACCAGAAAUGCUGUCCACAAAAAUCUUUAGCAGUUUUAUAAUUGAAGAUCUAAAGUUUAUUUGUAGCUUAAUGCCAGACCAGCUCUGAUUGGAUUUGUAUCAUUCUCUUCCAUUUACGAUGGACGCUUAAAAGAUUCUAAAGUCAGCAAGAUUCACCAUGAUUAUCCAGCCUGUUAUUCAUCACAUGAUGCAGUUGUUGUUGGUGCUCGUGGAGCUGGAUUUUGUGCAGAGUUUGGUUGACUCGCAGGCAUCAUAAAUCUUUAAUAGGUGUUGUUCGAUUUUGAAAAUCCUGGAGGAAUCUAGUGAUUCAAUAUCCCUUUCAUUUGGCGGCACUGGCAAAGUUGUUCUGCUUGUCAAGCCAUUUCGUCUUGAUGUCUAUGAUGAAGACCAACUAGUCAUCUCUGUGAAUGCAAAAGGCUUGCUGUACCAUCACCUGCACUAUUCGUCGAUGCUUCCGAAAUUAAUAAAUUUCAUGAUUGAAUCUAUCAAGUUUAUACAUUUAAAAAUCAUUUAAACAAUUGGUUCACAAUUCGUCAUCGCUCUCGAAGGACAUGUCGUAAUUAUCUAUGUUUUCGUCGUUAUGGUUCAAAGGAUGGUCAGUGACUACAGUUGGGAAUGAGGUUUUCAGUUAUAAUACUAUUUCCUCCAGUAGUUCCACGUUAUUACCUCAUUAUCCUGGUACCGUGUCCACAAAGCAAAAAGGAUGGAGUUCUUUAACUGUGUCUCCUUCUUCCUAUGGGCCUUGAACUUCUCGUGAGAGAGAAGCUUCUGUGAUAGCUUUACGUCUUGACACAGCUGCUCCAGCACCAACGUCAUCUUGUAAAACGGGAGAUUUGGGCCACCCGCCAACUGUCAUUGUGAAGCCCUUCACAAUCGUUAUUUGUUCUCAGAAGGAGAUUGAAACAGGACCAAUGAACAGGAGUCCAAAAACGGCCUUGAAUCCAGUUUCGCUCCAUAUAGUCCAUUAAUGUCUCCAGUAUUGGUGGCACCGAUGUUCGUAACGAGUCAAACACCGAAGAUAGGCGAGGCAAAGCAGACGAAAAACGAAGUCGCGAACAGGAUUGGGUCCUUUUUUGUUGUACUCGGUCGACAGGUAAAAAUCGAAGAUUUUCUUCAUUAUUGCCUGGCAACAAUGGAAAUUACAUCCCAAGUGGAAGCAAGAAGGAAACAGUUUUCGGACUGCGACAAAAACUGCGCGUUCAAAAUCUGUCACAAUCCGUUCAACUCUGGGAAGGGGCAUGAUUUUCUGAAUAAGUUUUUGGAACACCGCUAUAUAGUCAAUAGCUCUUCUUCGACACAUGCAACAGAAAAGAAGCGGCACUUGCUUUAAAUCUCCUUUCUCGUUCUUUAUUAUUCCGUUGAUGGAGAGUAACUAAUGGAAUGUCGCAUCUAGGAACCACGUCUUGCAGUCCUCCAACUGUCUCUUCAUUACUUGUGUGAAAAACAGAAGAUGGCGAGCUUUAUUUUUGCCAUGCCCAGCGAAGACCUCUCCUUGAAAAAUGUCUGGAGUGAAGAACUCUACGUGGAUCUCAAAAAAUGGCUCGUCUUUCCUAGGAUAAGGAGGCAUAGAUUUGGAUCUCAAAUAUAUGCAAUGAGAAAAAGCAUGACCUUAACCGCCUAGUCGCAUUUUCUACAUCCGGCAUAUCUCUCCCUGCCAUCUCCUUGUUCUUCUUCAAUUCGUCAAAAAUAAUCCUUUUGGGGGGCUUAAACUUCUCUAGCUUACUCGCUCGUGGUUCCCAUGGUCUGGCGGAUGAUUAUGAUGGACUCCACUGUCUUGAUUGUGUAACUUUUCCUGGAAGUCUUCUUGGCUGUAUUCAACAAGGUAAUUUCUUCCCGACCGAAUUUUUUGAGUUAUUCUCGCUUUGCAGGGGUCUUGAGGCCGUCGGGUUGAGCAACGCCAAGUAAAGGAUUUACCGCUAACACGUUUUUUUGUGCAGCAAUAACCUAGGCAGAAUCAAAAAUCCGUCAAUGUGAAUUUUGUACACUGGCUCCUUCGGUUCUUCAAAUGAAGAUUGCUGACAGAAGAAAACUAAUUAAUGCAGAAAUACCAUUAUAAUUUUUCAUCAAAAAUUUCUUACUUCCAAUGUUGAUUCAAUUGGUUCCACAGGUGGCUGAGCUCUUACACCAUCACUGUCGCGAUUUCGCCUUGAAACAGAUGGUUCAAAGACAUCAGAAUCCUAUAACGGUUAAGGAUAAGAACGUGGAUAUUCUGGUUCGACAGAAGAGUUGUCUGGUUGAAUGCGUCGUCUUAGUCGUGGUGGAGCAACAGGCGGAGUAGCAGUGGGAGAUCUAAGCUGCGAAAGAAUUAAAAGAACAGGAGACAUUAAUAAAGAAACAAUAGGAGAAGACUGUGCCCUUGGAGAUUCUCUAUGACAAGGAGGAGAUGGUCUUCUCUGAAGCGGAGGAGAUGGUGUUCUUUGACGAGGCGGAGAUGGGAUUCUCUGACGCGGAGGAGAUGGUGUUUUCUGAAUAUCAGCAGGAGCAGAACAAACAGGACGUCGUCUGGAUACAUGGGAAGGAUCUAGAAUCUCCGGACGCUUCACGGUUCUUUUCGGGCGAACAGAAGCUCUUGAAGUAACCGCCUCAACGUCGUUUCCAUCACAAGAACCACCUGCAACACUUGCCACUGCUUCACGGACUUCUUGACACUCACUUGCAGACCGUGUACUAUCAGCAUCUGACAAAAUAGCAUUCGCCUAGUUAAAAGAGCAGGGGAUCAUCGCUCACAUCAUCUGUACGAAUCUGUACACUAUCAAUAGAAACACACUUUGCACAGCGGUAGUUGGUGGAAAAUUCUUUCCAGGUGCGUGUGCCACCUCUAGCGAAAACAAAUCCGCAACACGCACGGUGAAGUGGAACUUUACAGACAAGACACCGACAGAACUGUUUCCGACUCGAAACGACACAAUCACAGUGAGAACACUUCGAAUCCGAAGAGAGAUCCAUGGAAGUGUAUCAUAUGGAGGAGGAGCCACAGGACGUUCCGGUGGUUUCCGUUCUGAAGUGUGUGUGCCGCUCCUUCGGGAGCUGUCAGUGGCUAUGUAAGAUAAAGGCUCCCUAGGGAAUAUGUGUUGAAAGCGGCAAAACUCUUCUGAUGGUACCAUCAAAGAGAGAGAAAGACAUCAGAUGAACAUCGAGGUUAUUCUGACUUACCAUCACUGAUUUUAAAUUACUAUCCUGUUUAUUGAGUAUCUAUCCUGUAACCGAUCCCACCACCACCCCCCAGACCAGAAUUUGAUAGUUCUAGGGAGAAGUUGCAGAAACUUGGAGAAGGAGAGGGCUCAAUGACGGCAAAGGAAUUCAAUAAGAUGAAGCUAAAGCUAGAAGCGGAGGUUUUGGCCACAUAAAAAAAAAACAGUUGCUAUGCAUGAAGUUUUCUUAAGCAGACUGGAGAAUCAUCCCAUAUUCAGAGCUGAUACGAACUUUCGUGUUUUUCUUGAAUACGAACAAGAUGUAAUGAACGAGUGUACCUUGUCAAUCAAUUUCAGAAUCAACUCUAGUAAUGCCUUUGAAUAUUCACAGUUGUCCGUACGAGGAAAAAACAAAAAGGAAAAACUGUUAGAUCGUUUUCUACAACGACUGAGAGAUAUUGCUUGGGUCUACAUAAAAGGACGUUGACGAGUUUUUAUUAUAAUUACAAUCCAACACUCCUACGAUAUCCAUUUGCAUUGGUAUAAUAUACACCAUCUUGGGGAACAGACCCUAAAUACAAUCAGAAAUUGUAUAACCAUGA